RNAcentral lists this ribosomal RNA (482 nucleotides) under uncultured bacterium. RNAcentral's name for it is "partial 16S ribosomal RNA". It matches the Rfam family "Bacterial small subunit ribosomal RNA", at positions 30 to 507 of the family's 1533-position model. The record is from RNAcentral.
AUUGAACGCUGGCGGCAUGCCUUACACAUGCAAGUCGAACGGUAACAGGUCUUCGGAUGCUGACGAUUGGCGAACGGGUGAGUAAUACAUCGGAACGUGCCCGACCGUGGGGGAUAACGAGGCGAAAGCUUUGCUAAUACCGCAUACGAUCUACGGAUGAAAGCGGUGGAUCUUCGGACCUCGCGCGGACGGAGCGGCCGAUGGCGGAUUAGGUAGUUGGUGGGAUUAAAGCUUACCAAGCCGACGAUCUGUAGCUGGUCUGAGAGGAUGAUCAGCCACACUGGGACUGAGACACGGCCAAGACUACUAAGGGAGGCAGCAGUGGGGAAUGGUGGACAAUGGGCGAAAGCCUGAUCCAGCCAUGCCGCGUGCAGGAUGAAGGCCUUCGGGUUGUAAACUGCGUUUGUACGGAACGAAAAGCCUCUUUCUAAUAAAGAGGGGUCAUGACGGUACCGUAAGAAGAAGCACCGGCUAACUACGUG